This 431-nucleotide ribosomal RNA is filed under the name uncultured bacterium. RNAcentral's name for it is "bacterial SSU rRNA". It matches the Rfam family "Bacterial small subunit ribosomal RNA", at positions 1065 to 1503 of the family's 1533-position model. The record is from RNAcentral.
CCGUGAGGUGUCGGCUUAAGUGCCUAUAACGAGCGCAACCCCCGCGUGCAGUUGUUAAGGGGUGACGCUGAGGACUCUGCACGGACUGCCGGCGCAAGCCGCGAGGAAGGCGGGGAUGACGUCAAAUCAGCACGGCCCUUACGUCCGGGGCGACACACGUGUUACAAUGGGUGGUACAGCGGGAAGCCAGGCGGCGACGCCGAGCGGAACCCGAAAUCCACUCUCAGUUCGGAUCGGAGUCUGCAACCCGACUCCGUGAAGCUGGAUUCGCUAGUAAUCGCGCAUCAGCCAUGGCGCGGUGAAUACGUUCCCGGGCCUUGUACACACCGCCCGUCAAGCCAUGGGAGCCGAGGGCGCUUGAAGUGCGUCGCCGCGAGGCGCGCCCUAGAGCGAAAUCGGUGACUGGGGCUAAGUCGUAACAAGGUAGCCGU